CCUACGGGUGGCAGCAGUAGGGAAUAUUGCUCAAUGGGGGAAACCCUGAAGCAGCAACGCCGCGUGGAGGAUGACGGUUUUCGGAUUGUAAACCCCCUUUGUUAGAGAAGAUAAUGACGGUAUCUAACGAAUAAGCACCGGCUAACUCCGUGCCAGCAGCCGCGGUAAUACGGAGGGUGCAAGCGUUACUCGGAAUCACUGGGCGUAAAGAGCGCGUAGGCGGGAUAGCAAGUCAGAUGUGAAAUCCUAGGGCUUAACCAUAGAACUGCAUUUGAAACUGUUAUUCUAGAGUAUGGGAGAGGUAGGUGGAAUGCUUGGUGUAGGGGUAAAAUCCGUAGAGAUCAAGAGGAAUACUCAUUGCGAAGGCGACCUGCUAGAACAUAACUGACGCUGAUGCGCGAAAGCGUGGGGAGCAAACAGGAUUAGAUACCCCGGUAGUC
This 440-nucleotide ribosomal RNA is filed under the name uncultured bacterium. Its description in RNAcentral is "partial 16S ribosomal RNA". It matches the Rfam family "Bacterial small subunit ribosomal RNA", at positions 338 to 795 of the family's 1533-position model. The record is from RNAcentral.